Molecule: long non-coding RNA, 362 nt
Filed under: Homo sapiens (human)
Lineage: Eukaryota; Metazoa; Chordata; Mammalia; Primates; Hominidae
Description: HSALNT0247958
Source: RNAcentral
CUGAAAACUUCCUGAAGACUCCGCUGCACACUGCAGGCCAAGAGAAAAGGAAAAUGAAGUCUCCAGUAGGUCAGAUAACUACCAAUGCCACACGGCUGAUGACAGCAGAACUGGCUUCCAGGAUUGGCUACCGUUUCUGAAGUCCACAUACUUGCCAAUUUGUCCAAAAGGAGCCACAGACAGGUCUGCAGAGGGACAUUGACGGGAAUGAAGUGUCCCCUCCUGGAGUACCCCUGGGCGCCAGCCUUAACAAUGCUGACUGGGCUUUCAGACUCCAUCUGCGGAGCCACACCCAGGAGUGCAACGGGGUAGAGAGGCAGGAAAACCUCUGGGACCCCCUGACAGCUGCAGCAAUGGAGCCG